This 253-nucleotide ribosomal RNA is filed under the name uncultured bacterium. RNAcentral describes it as "partial 16S ribosomal RNA". It matches the Rfam family "Bacterial small subunit ribosomal RNA", at positions 524 to 776 of the family's 1533-position model. The record is from RNAcentral.
UACAGAGGUCUCAAGCGUUGUUCGGAUUCAUUGGGCGUAAAGGGUGCGUAGGCGGCGAGGCAAGUCUGGUGUGAAAUCCCGGGGCUCAACCCCGGAACUGCACUGGAUACUGCUUUGCUAGAGUACUGGAGAGGGAACUGGAAUUUACGGUGUAGCAGUGAAAUGCGUAGAUAUGCGGAGGAACACCAAUGGCGAAGGCAAUCUCCUGGACCUGCACUGACGCUCAUGCACGAAAGCGUGGGGAGCAAACAGG